CUUKUGUAUCAGGGUUGAUUAAUUUAUGAUUAAGAAUUUAUUUUUCCCGAAAUUAGAAGAGCUAUUUAAAAAUGUAUUUUAUUGUUUAAUAAUUAUUUAUAAUUUUUUUAUAGUAAUGAAACGUUAUUCGUUUCUAAUUAUAUCUGGUUUUUUAAGAAAUUAAUUUAAUUAAUUCCUUAUUUUAUAUAUUUAUAAUUUUUUAUUUUUUUAUUUAAGUAUGGUUUAAUUUUCAGGGGGAUAAGCUUCUGAAUUUUUUAAAAGAUUUUAUUUUUUAGGUAAUUAAUAGGAUUAGAAUUUUCUAUUUUUUGGAGGAUGUUAUAUUUAGUUACUUAAUAUUAAUUAUUUUUAUUUUCUUUAAUUUUUUAUUAAAAUAUUUAUUUUAAUUUUUAAUUUUUUGUAAUAAUGAUUAAAUUAGUAUAAAUUAAUGUAUU
Molecule: ribosomal RNA, 431 nt
Filed under: Blaps splichali
Lineage: Eukaryota; Metazoa; Arthropoda; Insecta; Coleoptera; Tenebrionidae
Description: partial 16S ribosomal RNA
Source: RNAcentral